GAACUGAUGAUGUGCAUGGUUUCAGCAGAGCAGCAGCAGCAGUAGGAACCAUCUCUUGCACAUCCAAUAGGAUCCCAGUAAACUAAACUUUGACAUCCUAUUCACCACCACACCAAGAUGUCAUCUCCAAGGCAGUCUAGAAAGGCUGUGUAUGGAACAGGAAAGUUCUUCAGUGGAUAAAUGCAGAAAAGCUUCCUGCUACCAGAAUGAAUUUGGGUUGGAAGAUGGCUGGGAAAAUAUGACUUCUGUGAUGACUUCAGAAGCACUAGUGAACUAAAAAAUAUUUGCACAGUGGUAGUGAUCAGACCAAGAUGCCUUAUUCACAAGGAAGUUAUGGAAAACCCUUACAAUAUGCAAUAUGUGAAAUAGUCUGCACUCUCAGCCCUGUGCUACAAAAAUGAAGACACAAAGAACUUCUCUGCUCUUAAAGAAGAGAUUAGCUUCAUCCUAAAACCAGGCCAUUCACUUGUCUUUCUGAAAUUUGCUGCUCCUCAAUCUU
Passer domesticus (house sparrow) is the source of this 499-nucleotide long non-coding RNA. RefSeq lists it as uncharacterized. The record is from RefSeq and is a predicted model, not a curated record. The transcript has 3 exons. NCBI's taxonomy places the organism in Eukaryota, Metazoa, Chordata, Aves, Passeriformes, Passeridae.